This 71-nucleotide transfer RNA is filed under the name Camelus bactrianus (Bactrian camel). It matches the Rfam family "tRNA". Rfam says of the family: Transfer RNA (tRNA) molecules are approximately 80 nucleotides in length. Their secondary structure includes four short double-helical elements and three loops (D, anti-codon, and T loops). Further hydrogen bonds mediate the characteristic L-shaped molecular structure. tRNAs have two regions of fundamental functional importance: the anti-codon, which is responsible for specific mRNA codon recognition, and the 3' end, to which the tRNAs corresponding amino acid is attached (by aminoacyl-tRNA synthetases). tRNAs cope with the degeneracy of the genetic code in two manners: having more than one tRNA (with a specific anti-codon) for a particular amino acid; and 'wobble' base-pairing, i.e. permitting non-standard base-pairing at the 3rd anti-codon position. The record is from Rfam by way of RNAcentral. RNAcentral also lists the same sequence under 2 other names. Lineage: Eukaryota; Metazoa; Chordata; Mammalia; Artiodactyla; Camelidae.
GAAGGUAUAGCUCAGUGGUAGAGCACAUGCUUUGCAUGCACAAGGUCCUGGAUUCAAUCCCAGUACCUCCA